This 464-nucleotide ribosomal RNA is filed under the name uncultured bacterium. RNAcentral's name for it is "bacterial SSU rRNA". It matches the Rfam family "Bacterial small subunit ribosomal RNA", at positions 8 to 520 of the family's 1533-position model. The record is from RNAcentral.
AGAGUUUGAUCCUGGCUCAGAACGAACGCUGGCGGCAGGCCUAACACAUGCAAGUCGAGCGCACCUUCGGGUGAGCGGCGGACGGGUUAGUAACGCGUGGGAACGUACCCUUUUCUACGGAAUAGCCUUUGGAAACGAAGAGUAAUACCGUAUACGCCCUUUGGGGGAAAGAUUUAUCGGAGAAGGAUCGGCCCGCGUUAGAUUAGAUAGUUGGUGGGGUAACGGCCUACCAAGUCUACGAUCUAUAGCUGGUUUUAGAGGAUGAUCAGCAACACUGGGACUGAGACACGGCCCAGACUCCUACGGGAGGCAGCAGUGGGGAAUCUUAGACAAUGGGCGCAAGCCUGAUCUAGCCAUGCCGCGUGAGUGAUGAAGGCCUUAGGGUCGUAAAGCUCUUUCGCCUGUGAUGAUAAUGACAGUAGCAGGUAAAGAAACCCCGGCUAACUCCGUGCCAGCAGCCGCGG